UACGUAGGGGGCAAGCGUUGUCCGGAUUUACUGGGCGUAAAGAGCGCGUAGGCGGAAGCUUAAGUGUGGCCUGAAAGCCCCCGGCUCAACCGGGGAGGGUGGCUGCAAACUGGGUUUCUUGAGGGCGAUAGAGGAGAGCGGAAUUCCUGGUGUAGCGGUGAAAUGCGUAGAUAUCAGGAGGAACACCCGUGGCGAAGGCGGCUCUCUGGGUCGGCCCUGACGCUGAGACACGAAAGCGUGGGGAGCAAACAGG
This 253-nucleotide ribosomal RNA is filed under the name uncultured bacterium. RNAcentral's name for it is "partial 16S ribosomal RNA". It matches the Rfam family "Bacterial small subunit ribosomal RNA", at positions 524 to 776 of the family's 1533-position model. The record is from RNAcentral.